RNAcentral lists this long non-coding RNA (545 nucleotides) under Bos taurus (domestic cattle). RNAcentral's name for it is "long non-coding RNA NONBTAT001795". The record is from RNAcentral. Lineage: Eukaryota; Metazoa; Chordata; Mammalia; Artiodactyla; Bovidae.
CCCGUCUGUGCCCGGAGCUGGAGUCUGAGCCCCAGCCUAUGCUAAAGUCUUAAACAGUUUUCCUUCUAGUUCAGUAGAGUAUGGGUUUCCUUGAAGGCAAGGACAGUAUGCUGUGGUCCUUCAUAUCCGCCAGAGGUGCAGAGGUCUAACAAAGUGUGGGACAUACACAUAUGCCCAGUGAAAACAUGGUGAACUGAAUGUAUCUGAACUUAAGAGAGAAAUCAGAGGUAACCCCCCUUGGCUGUAAGGCUGCAGAAAACAUGGAGAAGAUGAAAAGGAAAGUUGGUUUGGGCAGGGGCAUUGUACAAAGGAUGAAGUUGGACAGAAAUAACGACAUAUUUCUUAAACUUCAUUAAGCCCUUAUAUAAGUUACUUACAAAUUUUUUAAACAGUAAAAUUAAUGCAUUUUAUGGAAGGCGAGCCUGCAGUCCUUUUUACAAUACAUGGCAGCCUCGAAGGAGUUUUAUUCAAAAGAAUGACACACCAUGAAUGCGGUAGUUAAAACAUGUGGGCAGCUGGGAAAGAAUUAAAAUGUGGAGAAAAUC